GUACGGGAGGCAGCAGUGGGGAAUCUUGGGCAAUGGCCGAAAGGCUGACCCAGCGACGCCGCGUGUGGGAGGACGCCCUUCGGGGUGUAAACCACUGUCAGGGGGGACGAAUGCCGGUAUGGUGAACAGCCAUGCCGGGUGACGGUACCUCCAGAGGAAGCGCCGGCUAACUCUGUGCCAGCAGCCGCGGUAAGACAGAGGGCGCGAGCGUUGUUCGGAAUCAUUGGGCGUAAAGCGCGCGCAGGCGGGUGCGCAAGUCGGGAGUGAAAUUCCGGGGCUCAACUCCGGAGCGGCUUCCGAAACUGCGUGUCUAGGGACCGGUAGGGGUCGGUGGAAUUCCCGGUGUAGCGGUGGAAUGCGUAGAGAUCGGGAAGAACACCUGUGGCGAAGGCGGCCGACUGGGCCGGAUCCGACGCUGAGGCGCGAAAGCGUGGGGAGCAAACAGGAUUAGAUACCCCGGU
This 461-nucleotide ribosomal RNA is filed under the name uncultured bacterium. Its description in RNAcentral is "bacterial SSU rRNA". It matches the Rfam family "Bacterial small subunit ribosomal RNA", at positions 339 to 791 of the family's 1533-position model. The record is from RNAcentral.